UGGGGAAUUUUGGACAAUGGGCGAAAGCCUGAUCCAGCCAUGCCGCGUGCAGGAUGAAGGCCUUCGGGUUGUAAACUGCUUUUGUACGGAACGAAACGGUCUUUUCUAAUACAGAAGGCUAAUGACGGUACCGUAAGAAUAAGCACCGGCUAACUACGUGCCAGCAGCCGCGGUAAUACGUAGGGUGCAAGCGUUAAUCGGAAUUACUGGGCGUAAAGCGUGCGCAGGCGGUUCUAUAAGACAGAUGUGAAAUCCCCGGGCUCAACCUGGGAAUGGCAUUUGUGACUGUAGAGCUAGAGUACGGUAGAGGGGGAUGGAAUUCCGCGUGUAGCAGUGAAAUGCGUAGAUAUGCGGAGGAACACCGAUGGCGAAGGCAAUCCCCUGGACCUGUACUGACGCCCAUGCACGAAAGCGUGGGGAGCAAACAGGAUUAGAUACCCAAGUAGUCCCUGAGCGGGCUGGCAAGGCGCAU
RNAcentral lists this ribosomal RNA (472 nucleotides) under uncultured bacterium. RNAcentral describes it as "bacterial SSU rRNA". It matches the Rfam family "Bacterial small subunit ribosomal RNA", at positions 355 to 825 of the family's 1533-position model. The record is from RNAcentral.